Molecule: ribosomal RNA, 390 nt
Filed under: Mullus surmuletus (striped red mullet)
Lineage: Eukaryota; Metazoa; Chordata; Actinopteri; Syngnathiformes; Mullidae
Description: partial 16S ribosomal RNA
Rfam family: Bacterial large subunit ribosomal RNA
Source: RNAcentral
CAAUCACUUGUCUUUUAAAUGGAGACCUGUAUGAAUGGCAUAACGAGGGCUUAACUGUCUCCUUUUUCAGGUCAAUGAAAUUGAUCUCCCCGUGCAGAAGCGGGGAUAAAGACAUAAGACGAGAAGACCCUGUGGAGCUUUAGACACUAAGGCAGACCAUGGUNAAUAACCCUAGACAAAAGGCUAAAACAAGAUGACCCCUGCCCGCAUGUUUUUGGUUGGGGCGACCGUGGGGGAAAAAAUAACCCCCAUGCGGACCGGGAGGACUUCUCCUAGAAGCAAGAACCACAGUUCUAACUAACAGAACUUCUGACCUAUAAGAUCCGGCUGACGCCGAUCAACGGACCGAGUUACCCCAGGGAUAACAGCGCAAUCCCCUUUGAGAGCCCC